Molecule: ribosomal RNA, 300 nt
Filed under: Glaesserella parasuis
Lineage: Bacteria; Pseudomonadati; Pseudomonadota; Gammaproteobacteria; Pasteurellales; Pasteurellaceae
Description: partial 23S ribosomal RNA
Rfam family: Bacterial large subunit ribosomal RNA
Source: RNAcentral
CCUUACGAUUAACAACAUCGAAUGAAGUGAAACGGAAUGAGAUGUUGGUCAAGCAACCCGAACGUUGAGUCGGAAAGUAAUCGAAGAGAGGAUUAUUAGUGAUACGCCUGUUGGGUAGGGGAGCGUUCUGUAAGCGGAUGAAGGUGAAUCGAGAGGUUUGCUGGACGUAUCAGAAGUGCGAAUGCUGACAUAAGUAACGAUAAAACGAGUGAAAAACUCGUUCGCCGGAAGACCAAGGGUUCCUGUCCAACGUUAAUCGGGGCAGGGUGAGUCGGCCCCUAAGGCGAGGCUGAAAAGCGU